GAAACUAGAUGGAGAGGAAAGUCUGAAGAGGAAAUCUUAUAGUGAUGUUGAGAACAAUACGGUGAAAAAACCAAAGAAAGUCUGCCGAACCUCUCCUCGCAAUACUUUUUCCAAGACUCCCGAUCAAUCUGAGCUAGAGAUACCCGAAUCUUGCGAUAAGACUAAAGUUGACGGGGAGCCUGUGAAUGAGUCUGACUUAGAUUCCGUGGAGAUGGAAUCUUGUGCUUGGAACGCAUCAGCUAAAGAUGCUCUUCACGAGCAUGGGAACAAGUCGCCUGAGAAUGACGACAUACGCCUCAGAGUAAAAGAUGGACCUAAUUUUUCGAGGAGUCCAGGUCAUUUCGGUGACAUGCACGAUUCCACAUCUCACCAUUCACCAAAUAUCUCAGAGAAAUCCUCAGAAACGGAUGACAACAAUAGUCCUUUAUUCAGUCCUCGCCAACACAACGACCUUUCUUAUCCUGAAAAUAAGUCGAAUGGACAUUUUUCUAA
Long non-coding RNA from Diachasma alloeum, 492 nucleotides. RefSeq lists it as uncharacterized. NCBI's taxonomy places the organism in Eukaryota, Metazoa, Arthropoda, Insecta, Hymenoptera, Braconidae. The transcript is spliced from 3 exons. The record is from RefSeq and is a predicted model, not a curated record.